CCUACGGGUGGCAGCAGUGAGGAAUAUUGGUCAAUGGGCGGGAGCCUGAACCAGCCAAGCCGCGUGAGGGAAGAAGGUACAGCGUAUCGUAAACCUCUUUUGCCAGGGAACAAAGGCGGGGACUAGUCCCCGGCUGAGGGUACCUGAAGAAAAAGCAUCGGCUAACUCCGUGCCAGCAGCCGAGGUACUACGGGGGAUGCGAGCGUUAUCUGGAUUUAUAGGGUUAAAAGGGUGCGCAGGCGGCCGGUUAAGUCAGCGGUAAAGGCCCGGGGCUCAACCCCGGCGAGCCGUUGAAACUGGCGGGCUGGAGUUGGAGAGAAGUACGCGGAAUGCGCGGUGUAGCGGUGAAAUGCUUAGAUAUCGCGCAGAACCCCGAUUGCGAAGGCAGCGUACCGGCUCCACACUGACGCUGAGGCACGAAAGCGUGGGUAUCGAACAGGAUUAGAUACCCGGGUAGUC
Molecule: ribosomal RNA, 459 nt
Filed under: uncultured bacterium
Lineage: Bacteria
Description: partial 16S ribosomal RNA
Rfam family: Bacterial small subunit ribosomal RNA
Source: RNAcentral